UCCUGGCUCAGGACGAACGCUGGCGGCGUGCUUAACACAUGCAAGUCAAGGGGGCCCGCAAGGGCAACCGGCGAACGGGUGCGUAACACGUGAGCAAGUUUCCUAUUAGUGGGGGAUAGCCGGCCCAACGGCCGGGUAAUACCGCAUAUCUUCACCGGGUGGCAUCGUCUGGUGAGGAAACCUCCGGGGCUAAUAGAGGCGCUCGCGGCCUAUCAGCUAGUUGGUGGGGUAACGGCUCACCAAGGCUAUGACGGGUAGCUGGUCUGAGAGGAUGGCCAGCCACAUUGGGACUGCGACACGGCCCAGACUCCUACGGGAGGCAGCAGUGGGGAAUAUUGCGCAAUGGACGAAAGUCUGACGCAGCGACGCCGCGUGUGGGAUGAAGCCUUUCGGGCGUAACCACUGUUGCCGGACGAACAUCCCCUUUCGAGGGGACUGACGGUACCGGGUGAGGAAGCACCGGCUAACUCUGUGCCAGCAGCCGCGGUAAUACAGAGGGUG
Molecule: ribosomal RNA, 501 nt
Filed under: uncultured bacterium
Lineage: Bacteria
Description: bacterial SSU rRNA
Rfam family: Bacterial small subunit ribosomal RNA
Source: RNAcentral